This 76-nucleotide transfer RNA is filed under the name Caudoviricetes sp. RNAcentral's name for it is "tRNA-Pro". It matches the Rfam family "tRNA". Rfam says of the family: Transfer RNA (tRNA) molecules are approximately 80 nucleotides in length. Their secondary structure includes four short double-helical elements and three loops (D, anti-codon, and T loops). Lineage: Duplodnaviria; Heunggongvirae; Uroviricota; Caudoviricetes. The record is from RNAcentral.
CGAGUAGUAGUUCAGCUGGUAGAACGCUUGCCCUGGGAGCAAGAGGCCGCGAAUUCGAGUUUCGCCUAUUCGACCA